UGGGGAAUAUUGGACAAUGGGCGCAAGCCUGAUCCAGCCACGCCGCGUGAGUGAUGAAGGCCUUCGGGUUGUAAAGCUCUGUGGGGAGGGACGAAAACGGCAUCCAAGAAACGGGGUGUCCUUGACGGUACCUCCUUAGCAAGCACCGGCUAACUCUGUGCCAGCAGCCGCGGUAAUACAGAGGGUGCGAACGUUGCUCGGAAUUACUGGGCGUAAAGCGCGUGUAGGCGGGUCGGCAAGUCAGGCGUGAAAUCCCCAGGCUCAACCUGGGAACUGCGCUUGAAACUGCCGGUCUUGAGUAUCGGAGAGGGUGGCGGAAUUCCUGGUGUAGAGGUGAAAUUCGUAGAUAUCAGGAGGAACACCGGUGGCGAAGGCGGCCACCUGGACGAUUACUGACGCUGAGACGCGAAAGCGUGGGGAGCAAACAG
RNAcentral lists this ribosomal RNA (428 nucleotides) under uncultured bacterium. RNAcentral's name for it is "bacterial SSU rRNA". It matches the Rfam family "Bacterial small subunit ribosomal RNA", at positions 355 to 775 of the family's 1533-position model. The record is from RNAcentral.